CAGAGGGUGCGAGCGUUGUCCGGAAUCACUGGGCGUAAAGGGCGCGUAGGUGGCGCUCCAAGUCUGUGGUGAAAGCUCGCUGCUCAACAUCGAGUCGGCCACGGAGACUGGAGGGCUGGAGCACUGUAGGGGCAGAUGGAAUUCCGGGUGUAGCGGUGGAAUGCGUAGAGAUCCGGAAGAACACCGGUGGCGAAGGCGGUCUGCUGGGCAGUUGCUGACACUGAGGCGCGACAGCGUGGGGAGCAAACAGGAUUAGAUACCCUGGUAGUCCACGCCGUAAACGAUGGGCACUAGAUGCUUGGGGGAGCGACCCCCUGAGUGUCGUCGCUAACGCAGUAAGUGCCCCGCCUGGGGAGUACGGCCGCAAGGCUG
Molecule: ribosomal RNA, 372 nt
Filed under: uncultured organism
Description: bacterial SSU rRNA
Rfam family: Bacterial small subunit ribosomal RNA
Source: RNAcentral